CCAGUAUGCUGUGCUUUCACUUUAUCUGAAUCUUGUCACGUAGACAAGUUCAGGGCGGGACUGUAAUACGUAGGCUGAUGCAAUGAGGACGCGUUCAGGGCGAGACUGUUACAGAAUAUAUGAAGUUUAUUGGAAAUUGGACAUUGCACACUGAAGUUAUGAGUACCGCUUAAUGGAAAAUCAUCUGAAUUUGACAAGGGGUCAGUGGCACGCAGUUUGACGUACAGUCACAAAUAGCUCAAUUCUUCAUGUACACUUUGUUUUUAUAAGACUGUCCAAUUUUGAAGUCGAUUUGAUAAGUCCCCUAUUUAUCUUGCAAUUUAAUAAGUGACUUCCAGCGGUUUCACACUAUGCUCCACGAACAAUACUCCCUAGGAAAUAUGGUUUGUAGAUGUGGCUAGUGGGAGCGGAGGGGUGUUUGUGUUUCAUCACUUUGAAAAAAAAGACCACAGAAUUCAAAAUGUCCAACUUUGACGAGACACCUGGGACACGCCCUUCAA
This is a long non-coding RNA of Dicentrarchus labrax (European seabass), 500 nucleotides long. RefSeq lists it as uncharacterized. The transcript has 2 exons. The record is from RefSeq and is a predicted model, not a curated record. NCBI's taxonomy places the organism in Eukaryota, Metazoa, Chordata, Actinopteri, Moronidae.